RNAcentral lists this ribosomal RNA (164 nucleotides) under uncultured Chloroflexota bacterium. Its description in RNAcentral is "uncultured Chloroflexi bacterium partial 16S ribosomal RNA". It matches the Rfam family "Bacterial small subunit ribosomal RNA", at positions 1218 to 1382 of the family's 1533-position model. The record is from RNAcentral. Lineage: Bacteria; Bacillati; Chloroflexota.
ACACACGCUACAAUGGGUGGUACAAUUGGUUGCGACAGAGCGAUCUGGAGCUAGUCUAUAAAGCCAUCCUCAGUUCGGAUUGCAGGCUGCAACUCGCCUGCAUGAAGCCGGAGUUGCUAGUAACCGCAGGUCAGCAUACUGCGGUGAAUACGUUCUCGGGCCUU